UUAAUUGAAGCCAAAAUAGAGGCCCUUCAUUGUUAAUGAAAUCAUUGAUUAUUAAAUCCAAUUAAA
This 66-nucleotide transfer RNA is filed under the name Molipteryx fuliginosa. Its description in RNAcentral is "tRNA-Asn". Lineage: Eukaryota; Metazoa; Arthropoda; Insecta; Hemiptera; Coreidae. RNAcentral also lists the same sequence under 2 other names. The record is from RNAcentral.